AUGGUGAGUGCCACGGCGUUCCUGCGGCGGCCGGCCCAAAAGGGCCAGACCGGGCCGCAACGGACCGGCAAACUGGGAUGUGCGUCGGAUGCACCGCUCCUUCCAUUUCAACAGUGGGCAUGGAGGGAGAUGCUCGACGCCCUACUCACGGUGCCGGCGCCCUGUCGGCCCCUCUCUCCCUCUUGCUCGAUCCGUCUGGAGCGGCGGUGGUGGGACGCGUCGGACGGACGUGCGCCCCAGCGCGGCGCAACCUGGCAAGCUGGCGAGUGGGCGCACGCACAUCCGAUUCAUCCACUCCGUCGCAAAGCGGCGGAGAACACGUAUGACAUGGUCACCACGCACGCGGAGCGCCGGGACACCGCCGAUCCGGAUGGAAUCAGAAUCAGGCGCCGGAUCCUGUUCGGCGGCAGCUCGCGCCGGUCGGUUUGGCCCCGGACCGCGCGUGUCGGCGGUGGCACAUGCCAUGCCUGCACGUUGUGA
This 480-nucleotide ribosomal RNA is filed under the name Triticum aestivum (bread wheat). Its description in RNAcentral is "partial small subunit ribosomal RNA". The record is from RNAcentral. Lineage: Eukaryota; Viridiplantae; Streptophyta; Magnoliopsida; Poales; Poaceae.